Pezoporus flaviventris is the source of this 7798-nucleotide RNA transcript. It is a transcript of the gene named transcription factor 20, with no coding region annotated. Lineage: Eukaryota; Metazoa; Chordata; Aves; Psittaciformes; Psittacidae. The transcript has 8 exons. The record is from RefSeq and is a predicted model, not a curated record.
GCGGGACCCUGAGUGGGGGGGAGCGGACACACGAUGGGCCCUGGGGCAGCGCCCUGCCCCGCCGCCUCCCCCUCCAGGCAGCGCUGCGAGAUGCCAGAGCCCUCCUCCGCGCCCGGCCCUGCCGAGGGAGCCCGCCCCGCCAGCGGCUCCUCCUCCUCCCCGGCCGCCGCCGCUCUGCCAGCAGCCGGUCGGGCCUGAGACCCGCGCCCGGCGGCGGGGCCUGCUCUGAGCGCUGGCGGAGGGCGGGCGGGGGAGAGGUGAGGAAAAUCCAGCAAGGAAAAGCCCCGGAGACCGAGUCCGUCGCGUCACAUGAGCUGACAGGAUCCGUACCCGCUUCCCUCGGCGCAACAAAGAGCCGGGAGCCCUUCUGCCCGCCGCGGGACGGGGCUGCCAUGGGACCCUGAGGGCCGGCCCUCACAGGAUUCUUCUGCCCAUUGAUGAUUAAAACAGCGCCUGGAGUUUUGGAAUGGAUCAGAUGCGUCAAUCAAAUGUUACCGCAUUGCACCCAAAGAGAGGAAUGCCAUCCAGCUGGGGGGCUUUGCAGUUGCUCAUUGACUGCUGAACAGCAUGCAGUCCUUUCGCGAGCAAAAUAGUUAUCACGGAAACCAGCAGAGCUACCCACAGGAAGUGCACGGUUCAUCCCGACUGCAGCAGUUCAGUCCCCGGCAGCAGGCCCAGAUGUUCCAGAGCUUUGGAGGAGGUGCCGGCAGUGGACGUCGUGGAGCAACGGGAGCCUCUACAGCAAUGCCUGGUGAAAGCUCUGGCCAUCAGAGUUAUCAAGGUUUCAGAAAAGAAACAGGAGAGUUUUACUAUAUGUCUGCCAAUAAAGAUCCAGUAGUGUCAGGAGGGCAGCAGCCACCUCAGCGCAGGCCUUCUGGACCAGUACAGAGCUAUGGCCCCCCUCAAGGGAGUAGCUUUGGGAGUCAGUAUGGAAGUGAGGGACAUGUGGGCCAGUUUCAGACACAGCACUCGACCCUUGGGGGUGUAUCCCACUAUCAACAGGAUUAUACUGGUCCUUUUUCUCCAGGGAGUUCCCAGUAUCAGCAGCAGGCUUCUAGCCAGCAGCAAGUGCAGCAGCUGAGACAGCAGAUCUACCAAUCUCAUCAGCCUUUACCCCAGGCUUCCAGCCAGUCUGCUUCUAGCACCUCACACCUGCAGCCCAUGCAGCGUCCAUCCACCCUGCCUUCCUCUGCUUCUGGAUACCAGUUACGAGUGGGUCAGUUCAGCCAGCACUACCAGCCACCUUCGUCGUCGUCCUCCUCCUCAUUCCCGUCCCCACAGCGUUUUGGCCAGUCAGGACAGAAUUAUGAUGGAAGUUACAGCGUGAAUUCUGGCUCGCAGUAUGAAGGCCAUGCUGUGGGUUCCAAUGCACAGGCAUAUGGGACCCAGUCAAACUACAGCUUUCAGACUCAACCAAUGAAAAGCUUUGAGCAGUCAAAGCUGCCCCAAAGUGGGCAGCAGGGGCAGCAGCAACAGCAUCCACCUCAGCAUGUAAUGCAGUAUUCAAAUACUGCCACCAAGCUCUCUCUUCAAAGUCAAGUGGGACAGUACAGCCAGACCGAAGUUCCUGUAAGGUCACCGAUGCAGUUCCACCAAAACUUCAGUCCAAUCUCUAAUCCGUCUCCUGCUGCAUCUGUGGUUCAGUCUCCAAGCUGCAGUUCUACCCCUUCUCCACUCAUGCCAGGUGGAGAUAACCUCCAGUGUGGGCAAGGCAACAUGUCCAUGGGUUCUAGAAACCGAAUCCUGCAGAUGAUGCCUCAGCUGAGUCCUACACCAUCUAUGAUGCCAAGUCCCAAUGCUCAUGGAGGAGGAUUCAAGGGGUUUGGGAUGGAAGGACUGCAGGAGAAAAGGCUCACAGAUCCAGGGCUGAGCAGCCUGAGUGCUCUUAGUUCUCAAGUGGCCAAUCUGCCUAACACUGUCCAGCAUAUGUUGCUUUCAGAUGCCUUGGCACCUCAGAAGAAAAGUUCCAAAAGGUCAUCCUCUUCAAAGAAGGCCGACAGCUGCACCAACUCAGAAGGCUCCUCCCAGGCAGAGGAGCAGCUCAAGUCUCCCCUAGCAGAGUCCCUUGAUGGUGGCUGUUCCAGUAGUUCAGAGGAUCAUGGGGAAAGGGUGAGACAGCUGAGUGGCCAGAGCACCAGCUCAGACACCACUUACAAAGGAGGUAACUUAGAGAGAUCCAACUCCUCACCAGCACAGGGCUCUCAGAAUGAGCCAUCAAAACUCAGCAGCAGCCCUGCAGCUAGGGAAGAUGUGGCCUCCCCUGGCACAAAGGAAGCUGUGGUGGCUGUAGAAAAUGCCCCCAAAGUGAAUGAAAAGGCAGUUGGGGUGAUUGUCUCCCGGGAAGCCAUGACAGGAAGAGUAGAAAAGUCAGGUGGACAAGAUAAACCUGCACAGGAUGAUACUUCCACAGCCACUCAGGCACCAGCUAGUGCUAGUGGAGCAAAAGAAGCUGGGCAGGCAGGGACACAGCCAGAAACUCAAGGAGGAAGCAAAGGAAGCAAAAGUGGAGAUAACACUAACCAUAAUGGAGAGGGAAACAGCCAGCCUGGUCAUGCAGUUGUUGGGCCAAAUUUUCCUGCAAGAACAGAACCUUCCAAAUCUCCUGGCAGUUUAAGGUACAGUUACAAGGAUAACGUAGCAGCAGGUAUACAGAGAAAUAUUGGUGGCUUUCCACAGUAUCCUUCUAGUCAGGAAAAGCUGGAUUUUCCAGGGCACAGUGAGCGCAAAGGCCGGAAUGAGAAGUUUCCCAGCCUCCUGCAGGAGGUCUUACAGGGGUACCACCACCACCAUCCAGACAGAAGGUACUCCAGGAACGCACAAGAACAUUCUGGGAUGGCUGGGAGUUUGGAGGGAGCCAUGAGGCCUAAUAUCUUAAUCAGUCAAACCAAUGAAUUGACCAGUAGAGGCCUCUUAAACAAAAGCAUGGGGUCCCUCCUGGAAAGCCCUCACUGGGGUCCCUGGGAUAGGAAGUCUGGCAGUGCAGCUUCUGAUAUGAAACAGAUAAAUCUAGCCGAUUACCCUAUUGGUAGAAAGUUUGAUGUGGAGUCUCAGUCAUCUGCCCAUGAAGGGGGGACACUCUCAGAGAGGAGGUCAGUGAUCUGUGACAUAUCUCCAUUAAGGCAGCUUGUCAGAGAUCCUGGCCCUCACCCAAUGGGGCACAUGGGUCCUGAGGGCAGAAGUGGAAGGAGUGAACGUCUUGCCCCUGGCUUGAGCCAGUCGGUAAUACUCCCUGGUGGUUUAGUAUCCAUGGAAACCAAGAUGAAAGCUCAUAGUGGGCAAAUAAAAGAAGAAGACUUUGAACAGUCAAAGAGCUCAGCUAGUCUCAAUAGUAAAAAAACAGGAGACCAUUGUCAUCCUGCUGGCAUCAAGCAUGAAUCUUUCCGAGGCAAUGCUAGCCCUGGAGCUGCAGUUUCCGAUGCUGCUCCAGACUACAUUCCCCAGCAGGACAGCAGAUCAAUGCAGAUGAGACGAGGACCUGGCAGAACUGGAAGCAGCAGGGGCAAAUCACCUUCUCAGUUUCAGGAUCUUGCUGAUAAGCUGAAAAUGUCACCAGGCAGAAGCAGAGGUCCAGGGACAGAUCUGCAUCACAUGAACCCACAUAUGACGCUGUCUGAAAGAGUCAACAGAGCUUCCUUGCAUUCUGCUUACCCUCAGAAUUCAGAAGGCCCGUCUUUGGCUUCAGCAUAUCACACAAAUGCUAGGCCUCAUGCUUUCAGUGACCCUAACCAGAGUUUAAAUUCCCAGUACCAUUACAAGAGACAGAUGUACCAGCAACAGCAAGAAGAGUACAAAGAUUGGGCAAGCAGCGCUGCUCAGGGUGUGAUUGCUGCAGCUCAGCACAGGCAGGAAGGAGCAAGGAAAAGCCCAAGACAACAGCAGUUUCUGGAAAGAGUGAGGAGUCCUGUAAAAAAUGACAAGGACGGAAUGAUGUACUUUCAGGGUAGCUCUUAUCACGAUACUGGAAGCCAGGAAGCUGGCCGCUGUGUUAUGGGGGGUGACAGUACUCAGAGCAAAUGUACCGAACUGAAACAUGGCAACCAGAAGUUGCAGCAUCAUGAAUCUGGUUGGGACCUCUCUCGGCAAACUUCUCCAGCCAAAAGCAGUGGCCCUCUUGGACCCAAUCAGAAAAGAUACUGCCCUCAAGAAAGCGAUGGGCAUCGACGAGAAGAAUCUGCAGAUUUGCCCAAGCCAAGCAAUGCCAUGCUUAGGCUUCCUGGCCAGGAAGACCAGUCUCCUCAAAAUCCAUUAAUUAUGAGGAGGAGAGUCCGUUCUUUCAUCUCGCCUAUCCCUACCAAAAGACAGCCACAUGACAUGAAGCACAGUGGCAGUGAAGAUAAAGGGCGUCUGAUGACUUCAGCAAAAGAAGGAGCUGAUAAAACGUACAACUCCUACGCCCAUUCAUCUCAAAGCCAAGAUGUUGGCAAGUCGGUUGCAAAGGGAGAUUCCUUCAAGAAUCUGCCGAGUCCUGAUAAUAGGAAUUGCCCUGCUGUUUCCCUCACAAGCCCGGCUAAGACCAAGAUACUGCCUCCAAGAAAGGGGCGAGGAUUAAAACUGGAAGCUAUUGUUCAAAAAAUUACAUCUCCUAAUAUUAGGAGAAGCGUUUCUACCAACAGUGCUGAAACUGGUGCAGAUGCUGUCACUCUUGAUGACAUCCUGUCCCUUAAGAGUGGACCUGAAGGAGGAAAUAUGACUGGACAUGGAGCAGAGGCUGAAAAGAGAAAAGGAGACGUGUCAGAUCAAGUGGGGCCAGCCAGCCAGGACACAACUGGCGAAGUAACUCUUCCAAGAUCCUCAGAAGAGUGGCAAAGCAGUGAGGAUGAUAAAAACAAGAAAAAGGUCCCUGAAACUGCCAGUGUUGGUAAAGAAGGAGCAGGAUCCAGUGCAGCAGCACCAUCUUCUCAGAAAUCAUUUGGUCAGGGAAGAUCGGAGGGAUCUGUAAGCGGAGCUGGAACUCUGACCUUUUCUGACUCAAAACCGAUCUCCCCUUCCAGUGUGUUUACUUCUGAACCAAAUCCAAAGGCUGAGGAAAAAGAUGGAGAUGUGACAAACAUUUCGCCCAAGCCAGAUGGUUUCCCUCCAAAGGGAUAUUUUCCCUCUGGAAAGAAAAAGGGGAGGCCAAUUGGGAGCGUAAACAAGCAGAAGAAGCAACAGCAGCAACAACAGCAGCAGCAACUGCCCCCGCCACCACCACCCCCACCGGUACCUUCGCAGUCUUCAGAAGGGGAAGCUGUUGCUGAGCCAAAGCCCAAGAGGCAAAGGAGGGAGAGGAGAAAACCUGCAGCACAGCCACGGAAGCGGAAGCCUAGACGGGCUGCUCCGAUUGUGGAGCCUCAAGAACCAGAGAUCAAGCUUAAAUAUGCUACCCAGUCUGUAGAUAAAACUGACUCCAAGAAUAAGUUCUUUUUCCCUUAUAUUCACGUGGUAAACAAGUGUGACUUAGGCGCUGUGUGCACAAUCAUUAAUGCAGAGGAAGAAGAGCAGAACAAACUGGUGAGAGGUCGGAAAGGACAGCGGUCUUCAACACCCCCUCCUAGCAAUGUGGAGAGCAAAGUGCUGCCCACCUCAACUUUCGUGCUGCAAGGCCCUGUGGUAACAGAGUCUUCUGUCUUGGGGCCUCUGGUUUGCUGCCUGUGCGGCAAAUGGGCCAACUAUCGUAACAUGGGUGACCUCUUUGGCCCUUUCUACCCCCAGGAUUAUGCAGCCACCUUGCCCAAGAACCCACCUCCAAAGAGGGCCACAGAAAUGCAGAGCAAGGUCAAGGUACGCCACAAAAGUGCUGCUAAUGGUUCCAAGACAGAUACGGAAGAGGAAGAGGAACAGCAACAACAGAAGGAACAAAGAAGCCUAGCUGCUCAUCCCCGCUUUAAGAGGCGGCACCGCUCUGAGGACUGUAGUGGAGCCUCUCGGUCACUUUCAAGGGGACCUGCUUGUAAAAAGGCAACCACUGAUGGUGGCAGUGGUGGUGAAAAGACUCCUUUGGACUCAAAACCAUCUAUGCCCACUUCAGAAGGUGGCACUGAGCUGGAGUUACAUAUUCCUGUACUACCUCUUGACAGCAAUGAAUUUUGGGUCCAUGAGGGUUGUAUUCUCUGGGCCAAUGGAAUCUACCUGGUCUGUGGCAGGCUCUAUGGGCUGCAGGAAGCUGUGGAAAUGGCAAAAGAGAUGAAAUGUUCCCAUUGCCAGGAAUCGGGAGCCACCUUAGGCUGCUACAUCAAAGGCUGCUCCUUCCGAUACCAUUACCCAUGUGCCAUCGAUGCAGAUUGUUUACUAAACGAAGAGAAUUUCUCAGUGAGGUGCCCCAAGCACAAGCUAUGGUGCUUGAACCUCGGAAGGAAACGACAGACUCCAGCCUCCCGAAGAAGAUACUGAGCAGGCACAUCGAUUUCCAAAAACAAGAUGGUGAAAGGCAGCCUCAGCACAGAGCAGUCGGAGCGGGGGUGAGGGGGGAAGUAUACUCCUGGGAAUGGAAAUAAAAGCAAGCACAGGUUAGGCUGUUGAGAUAAAAAGCGGUGGACAUUCGUGACUGAAUGGAAUCUCUCCCACUGUGCAGCCAUGCCCCCUCUCGACGUGCCUGCCAAUGCCAGCACUUCCUUCAUAAAUUCUUACAUCACACUCAAGACUGAGGACAUCACAGAAUCUGACCAAGGAGUCUGAACCAGCUGUUUCCAUGGACACAAUCUCCAUAGUGACAGUGGGAAGGGGAGGGGGAAAAAGGAAACAGGUGGGGGGAAUUAAAGAGGGAGGGAUAAAUAUAUAUAUAUAUAUAUAUAUAUAAAGAUCUAUUUUUUAGUCUUGAAAGACUUUGUUUUAAAUGAAAGGUGCGCUAUAUCCCUUUUGAUGCUUUUGAUUAAAAUUACCAAAACCCCAUAUAAAUUAAAAAAAGAAAACUGUAGCUAAAGUAAAUAUUAAGUCCAAAAUCAAAGCAAGGCUUAUGGAGCCUAACAUUUUGUGGGAAAGAAGAGCAGAACUGGGAAUACUCCAAAUAGGACUUGUCUCCCUUCCUCUUGCUUGCUUUCUCACAACAUCCAAGGCAGUUCGAUUUUAAAAGGCAGAUAAAAGCAUGAAAAAUUGUAGGGUCUGGGAAGAAGGCUUGGAUGGUUGCAGGUGAUGGGGUGUCAGUACUUGUAUGUGCAGGGUAGGGAGGUUAUCGUUUUUGAGAAACACUGUUAAAACAUCUGAACACUCUUGAAUCAUGAGACUCAUGAAGUAAGAGAUGGCUGCUGCUUGCUAGAUCCCGCACAUCUUGUUUGUGUGGGAAUGUCUGUACCAUGCAGUUGGAAGGGCUGUCCGCCCUUUGUGGUGGCAACAUGCACUCCCAAAUCAUUGCAAGGCACUGCCUUCGGUCUUGAAGGCAGGUGAAAGGAAGAUACAGUUUACCUGCCAGAUGGGGGAGCUGGAAAGGAAGUCUGAAUGUUCUUGGAGUCAGUGUGUCUUCAAACUGAUCAGAAAAUCCACUUGGCCCUUUUAUUAAUUUAUGUUUUGCUUUUCCUGAGGAAGGAAGAGGGAAUGUCAGUGUAACAGCCUACAUGGUGUGGGUAUUUGGGGUGGUUUUGUUUUGGUUUUGGUUUGGUUUGUUUUUUUUUUUUUUGUAAAUUAUGUAAUUUUAAAACAUUUGGGUUUGUAAGGAACUACAACAAAAUCCUAUUUUUUUUUUUCUUGUUAAGGCCUUAAGAAAGGGUUUAGUGCAUCUUUCAGGGGUCACUCUGCCAUGGGAAUAAAAUAGCUGUUUCACAAACAGUUUUAUAUAAAAAAAGCUUAAAAAAAACCAAAAAAACUAAUAAACUUCAUUUUAAUCUUG